This 497-nucleotide ribosomal RNA is filed under the name uncultured bacterium. Its description in RNAcentral is "partial 16S ribosomal RNA". It matches the Rfam family "Bacterial small subunit ribosomal RNA", at positions 28 to 507 of the family's 1533-position model. The record is from RNAcentral.
GAUGAACGCUGGCGGCGUGCCUAAUACAUGCAAGUCGAGCGAACGGACGAGAAGCUUGCUUCUCUGAUGUUAGCGGCGGACGGGUGAGUAACACGUGGAUAACCUACCUAUAAGACUGGGAUAACUUCGGGAAACCGGAGCUAAUACCGGAUGAUAUUUUGAACCGCAUGGUUCAAAAGUGAAAGACGGUCUUGCUGUCACUUAUAGAUGGAUCCGCGCUGCAUUAGCUAGUUGGUAAGGUAACGGCUUACCAAGGCAACGAUGCAUAGCCGACCGGAGAGGGUGAUCGGCCACACUGGAGCUGAGACACGGUCCAGACUCCUGCGGGAGGCAGCAGUAGGGAAUCUUCCGCAAUGGGCGAAAGCCUGACGGAGCAACGCCGCGUGAGUGAUGAAGGUCUUCGGAUCGUAAAACUCUGUUAUUAGGGAAGAACAUAUGUGUAAGUAACUGUGCACAUCUUGACGGUACCUAAUCAGAAAGCCACGGCUAACUACGUG